GUAUAUCUCUUUGACUGACAUCUGCUUGCAGGUAACCUCCUCAUACUCAACAGACGCCGUACCAACCUCUGCAACAUAAAGAUGUCCAAUUGCAUACCGCUAUUAGCAAGUAAAACUACCAGCAUCUGCAAUUUUACCGCUGAGUUGUGAGUUUACCAAUAUCCCUUUUUGAUGCUUUGAUCUUGCGUGUUCUUCUCCUGAUGUGGCAAUAAAUGACAGCAAACCCGAUGAUCACCGCUGCGACGAGGCACCCAAGCAGUACUCCAUAUCCUGCAUACUCUCAGAAGGCAAAGAAUUUCAAGUCCUCAGAAGGCAAAGAAUUUCAAGUCACGGGUAGAGAGGAAGGGGGGAGGCAGGUAAGAUAGACACACCUGUAUGCAUUUAGCUGUAGAACGUCUGGGAAUAACACAAGGUCGCUUUUCUGUCACUGUGAAUGUUCCAACGGAAGCAAAUUAAUACCAUGGCCACUCUCUAACCAGUCGUUAUUAGCAAUGAUGAAAAGCCAUUGCCGGCCAAGGGCCAUAACAGAAGAAGCCAAAGCACUUAAAAAUAUGGACCAAGGAAUCGGGCCAGGUCUGGACCAGAAUACAGCAUCAACUGAGUCUCAUGUCAGGUACAUUGGUUCAAUUGCUUUACAUAAUCUAAUCCAUUUGUCAUAGUCCUGUGACGUUGCUUGCUCUGUCAUACCAAGUUAGUUAGUAUCUGCGGCUGCAGAAAAUAUAUCUUGAAUAUUUGGAUUGCUUCUUUGCUAAUGGGUUGUCGUGAUGGCGGAGGUCCAAUAUGGGUUCGGGCAUAGCGGAGUCCCCAUCCUUGGUCCCAACCUGAGAAGCAGACAAAUGUGUCAACUCUAUGCAAAGCGGUAUUAGAUACUAUAUGAGCUAAAACAAUAUUCUACUUUGACGGCUUCAUAUGAGCCAAACUAAAAAACAAUAAGGUUGCGUCCACCAAAAGAGCAACAACUGGAGCAAGACAUAUGGCAUUGGGGUAUAAUGCUUGGUAAACUACUAUGUUCUCCCUGUUCUUUCCAAGUAACUUCUGUCCUUUGCGAUCAGUUUGCUUUUACUACUGGUCAGUCUGUUCUUGUGUUGAUUAAUUCGUUGGGCAUGUAGAUGCUAAGAUUAUCAAGUCAAAUUUGCCAAUUAUAGUAGUAAUACAGAAACACUCAAAAGCUACUGUAAAAAAAAACAGAACCGCUCCAAAAGCUCCAAGCUGUAAGAGUCCGCAUCUUAGCACAAUCCGCACUUAGUUUGCAUGGAUAUUCUGCUUAGGUCCACAAAACAAAGAAUUAACUGUUUUGUAAGACAUGUCACGUGAGGUCAUCAAAUUUGCAUAAACUAGACCCAAGUGUAGCACCAUGCUGCUUGAGCUGUAUUUAUGCCCUUUAGAUUUGAUACCAUGCUAUUUUAACUUCAACAGUGCCUAAACCUUUACAGAUCUGAUAGCAUGUUGCUUUAGCAGUAUGUACCUUUGAAUGCAUCUUAUGAGAGAUUAAUUACUCAGCAGUUCCUCUUGUUAUGCAUAUGAAGUUAGAUGCUCAAACAAACUGCGUUUUACAAGUAUUUGGCUUGAAAAUGGAUCCUGUGAAAUGUGUCUAAUUAAUUAAGAAGCCUGAAACAUCACUUUCAUGGGGUAGGCAUAGGA
This 1641-nucleotide long non-coding RNA is filed under the name Hordeum vulgare. Its description in RNAcentral is "long non-coding RNA (HVUL_LNC004995)". The record is from RNAcentral. Lineage: Eukaryota; Viridiplantae; Streptophyta; Magnoliopsida; Poales; Poaceae.